AUUUUCAAUUAAUUUUAAAUUAACCUUUUGUUUAAAUUCUGGAAGGAUCGUGAAUGUCAAAGUUUACAAGAACUGAAAUUAUGUGUAUAUUUUGUCAGGAUUGUUCAUAAUGGUUAUAGCCAUAUUAUUUAUUUUUCAUCCGAUUCACUUGUAUUUAUAUCAUUCUGUAUCAGUUCAGAGGUUGUGGUCCAUGUUUAUAAAAGCCAUAUGGUUGUUAAUUUUAGAUCCUUCAUUGAAUAAUCAAAAAGUUCUAUUGAACUUUAAUAUUUUUUAUCAGAGUCAUUGGAACUCUUUUCAUAUCAAUCAGGUUCUUUUUCAGAACCCAUAUCAUAAUUUAUCAAGUUCAUAAUGCGUCAAUGUUUUGUGACAUUGAUCAAAAUUGCUAACAUGUUUGUCAGUUAUAUAUAUAUCUUGUAAGUAUAUAUAUAUGUGUGUGUAAAUAAAUAUGGUAUCUGUUUGCAGUGUGAAACAUUUAUCAUUUAAAAAAUGGAGUUGUAAUGUUAAAUUUUGUUGAUAUUGUGUGAGUUAAAAUCAAAAGAUGUUGUUUAUUAUAUAUAAUCUUGUUUUUUUUGUGACUAAUUACAUGCACAUGAUAAAAAAAAAUGGUUGUUUUGACACUUUUUGUUUUAGGAAAUAUUUAGUCUCUUUAUAUAUAUCGUGAGUGUUGUGUUUGAAAUUUCAAACUAAAAAUACAAUUAUGGAAUCUUGUAACAUAUGGAUAGUAGCUGUAAUGAUCUUUGAUUCAUGAAUUUAAUUUCAAAUGCAUAGGAGCAUCCUCUACCAGGGGAAACAGAGACUAAUUAAAGACCAGACUAAUAGAUUUUAAAAUCACUUAAUGUUAAAUAAUUUUAGAAUGCAAUCAAAAUACAAUUAUGCAAAUUUUAUGUUAAUAUUUAUAUAACAAAGUUCAAAAUGGUGACAAUCUUGUUUUGAAUACAAUUUUUGUUUAAGUGCCUUAGUGUGUUUUUCAAUGUGAUAUAUAUUUACUGGGUUAAGUUGAAUGAGAAAAAUGUGAUAUAUUUUUACUUUCGAUUUGGAUAUGUUCUUUAAACAUUCCAGAAUCUUGUUUUAAAGAAAUGUUUAAAGUAAGAUUAUUAGAAUAAUUCAGCAUGAAACAGAUUUAAUUUUAUGUGAUAGCUCUGGGGUUUUCUUUCUGAAAAGCUUGAUACAUAAUAACCCUCACAAUUAUAGUUCUGUGCUCUUUUCUAUUUCAAGUGUAACGUUGUUUUUUAUCAUAAAAGUAAAGCCUACAUCAUUUUAAAGUAUUCAUGAAUCAAAGAGCAUGAUAGCUGCUGGAAUUUCUCAGGAAUACAUGUAGGAUGUAUUGUUGACCGUGUCGUUUGUAGUCUGUCCCAGACAGAGCUAGUUUUACCAGGGAGGAACCAAUCAAAACAGUCUUAUUUUUGUUCAAGGUCAGUAGUUAGGAUGCUAAAAGUGUGUCAUUUCAAGUCUAUUUUUAGCUUUAAUUGAAAAGAAGAAACAUUUAGUAACUUUUUUGUUAGCUUUAAUUAAAUGCACAGGCAUAUUUGUUCUUUUACAUAAUCAGUUAUUUGUCUAACAGGGACCACUUUGCAAUAAAUGUUAUCCUGAGUGCCAAACAUUUACAUAGUAGAAUAGAAUGGCAAAUCAUAUCAAAAGUCUUUUUUUCUUUUUUUUUCCCUAAUGAAAAAUAUCAAUUUUACUCAAAACAAGUACCUCUUCUUUUAGUUAAACAUAAAUGCGCAUCCCUUGUAAAUGAAUUCAAGUAAUCACUCCUGGUUUUUAAAUCAGUUUAGGCCCCAACGUAACACAUGUUAAUGGGAUAGAAUAGGAAAUCACAAAAAUGUAGCAUUCCCAAACUAACACAAAAUCUUUCUUCUCUCCUUUGGUAUAUCAUAAAUGUUUUUAUGAAUUGUUCUAUUAGUGAUAUCUGCCUUCUGGUUUUUAAUCUUAAAACAUUUGUAUAUUAUCAUAUGCCAUUUAAGAAUUAUCUGUUAGUCAGUUUGUUUGUGUUCCCUGGACUUGAAGUGGCACAUUUGACCAUAUAUAUUAGUAAUAUUUUAAGUUUAUCAAGAGUCUCAAGUUUUGUUUUGGUGUUUUUUUUAACUUGGUUAGUUUUUGGUUGAUUUUGUUGUAUAUUAAUGUUUUUUUGUUUGCUCAGUUAAUCAGUAAGAUUGUAUAUGUAUAAUGCAAAUUCAGUCCCUUACAAGUUUAAAUUAGGUUGCCAGGUCCAACAUUUUUCUCAAUUCUAUACAUUUCACAAGUUACAUAUUUAAGUCAAGCCAUCAGGUACAGGAAUCGGUUUCACGAAUCAACUUUAGACUUAUUUAGAUUUAUUGUAAGUAUACUUAAUUGUUCAUGACUUGCAAUCAAUCUUAACUGUAAGUUUUUUUUUUGUGAAACAGACUCCUGGUCUGUAAGAUUUUCUAUCAAAUUUAAUAUGAUACUUGAUAAAUUAAAACUAGCAUGAUGUUGAUCAAUCAAUUUGUAUAAUUGACAUUUGUUGUGUAAUACAGUUGCAAAUUUGAAAAAAAAAAUUGAAAUAUGUAUACUUAGGAAGGACAACUCAAUAUUCCAGCCAACUUCAAUGAAACAUAAGGUGAAGAAAUGAGGAAAAUGAUGGAUCUGGUAGUUAGAUGUGAUUUGGUAAAUAUUUUUUUAAUGCACAACUUUAUUAUGUGAUAAGCUGUUUUAUUUAGGGUUGUUUAAAGAAAUAGAUAAAAUUAUUGUUUUUAUCAAAACUACAUAUCAAAUGAGUCUUGUUAAAUGUGUAUAUAUAGAUACUAUUGUGCUUUAACUUUCUAAUAAAAGAAAAACAAGACCAGCAUCAAAAAGUGCUUUAUUGUGCUGAAAUUGAAUUUUAGUUCUAUUUUGUCCAUAAUCUUUUGCUGCUAGCUACCACUAAUUACGUUUUUAAA
Molecule: long non-coding RNA, 2897 nt
Filed under: Mytilus galloprovincialis (Mediterranean mussel)
Lineage: Eukaryota; Metazoa; Mollusca; Bivalvia; Mytilida; Mytilidae
Source: RNAcentral